RNAcentral lists this long non-coding RNA (842 nucleotides) under Equus caballus (horse). RNAcentral's name for it is "lncRNA (ENSECAG00000049488.1)". Lineage: Eukaryota; Metazoa; Chordata; Mammalia; Perissodactyla; Equidae. The record is from RNAcentral.
GGGGCUUCACCAUCAACUUGAUAUAGCCAAUAGAAUGUUAGUAAAUUUGAUAUAAGCAGAGGGUUUAAAUACGUUUGGUAUGUAAUUUAGUUUGGUUUCUUGCAUGCCUGCCAUUCACCAUGAGAGAACAUGCCUCAGACAGCUGCUGGUCCAAGGAGGAUAAAACCUGAACACAAUCUGCAAAUUGGAGUCUGGAGCCUGGAUUUCAGCCUAGCCCAGGUCAACAGGUCAUGGUGACCACAAAGGGAACUGAAGGAGAUGAGCCCCUGAGGAACCAAUGACGCCAGAACUGUGUGAGGUGCCCGCUCGAGCCAUCUGUGCCCUCCGCUUCUAUCAACUGAUUAACAGAAGACAAAGUCAGGAAGACCAGAAAUGCUGGGCAGAGACUAAAAUGUGAGGGAGCAUGUCGCCAGAAAUCCGACAGCCGCAAAUCAGCACAGCCUGACCCACGGCUCGCCGGCUGAGGCUGAACGUCAGGAGAGAAAUGUGCACCACUCCUACAGCAACGGGGUGAAAGUGAGAAAUAAAUUAACCAAAGUUCGAGCUCAUCUUGCACAGUAACAAGGACCCUGCAGAUAAGGAGAGAACUUGCUGACGACCUCUUUCCACCAAACGUGGCGCAGGCGCAUUGCGGGACCAGAAUGACCGAUCAGUGAACUCGGGAUGUCACAGGCCAAAAAUCCACCACAUGUAACACACAGAACCUCCCUGAAUUUACACAUGUGACCCCUGAAGAGCCGUGAAGGACAGUCUCGCCUGCGCAGAAGACUCUUGAAAGUUCCUCUUGCCAUUUCUCCGUCCCCAAGCCCCUCCUACUCCCUACUCCCCGAUAAAUAUCCCAC